RNAcentral lists this ribosomal RNA (563 nucleotides) under Incilius campbelli (Campbell's rainforest toad). RNAcentral's name for it is "partial 16S ribosomal RNA". It matches the Rfam family "Bacterial large subunit ribosomal RNA", at positions 1820 to 2594 of the family's 2925-position model. The record is from RNAcentral. Lineage: Eukaryota; Metazoa; Chordata; Amphibia; Anura; Bufonidae.
GCCUCUUGAAUAUUAAUAAGAGGUCCAGCCUGCCCAGUGACCAUGUUCAACGGCCGCGGUAUCCUAACCGUGCGAAGGUAGCGUAAUCACUUGUUCUUUAAAUGAGGACUAGUAUGAAUGGCACCACGAAGGUUAUACUGUCUCCUUUUUCUAAUCAGUGAAACUAAUCUCCCCGUGAAGAAGCGGGGAUAAACUUAUAAGACGAGAAGACCCUAUGGAGCUUUAAACAAUAUAGCACCUGCCCUACAACAUAAAAAUUUCCGAGCCCCUAAAUUCCGCUGGCAUGCUGACUAUAAGUUUUUGGUUGGGGUGACCGAGGAGCACAAUAUAACCUCCAUGUUGAAGGAUAUAUAUUCUUAACUAAGACCCACCUGUCUAAGCAUCAACAUAUUGACAUCCAUUGACCCAAUAAAAUUGAACAACGAACCAAGUUACCCUAGGGAUAACAGCGCAAUCCACUUCAAGAGCUCCUAUCGACAAGUGGGUUUACGACCUCGAUGUUGGAUCAGGGUAUCCCAGUGGUGCAGCCGCUACUAAAGGUUCGUUUGUUCAACGAUUAAAAC